CACGUACUCCCUCCGUCCGAAAUACUUGUCAUCAAAACGGAUAAAAAAGGAUGUAUCUAGAACUAAAAUAUGUCUGGAUACAUCUUUUUUAUCCAUUUUGAUGACAAGUAUUUCCGGACGGAGGGAGUAACAC
Molecule: non-coding RNA, 133 nt
Organism: Triticum aestivum (bread wheat)
Lineage: Eukaryota; Viridiplantae; Streptophyta; Magnoliopsida; Poales; Poaceae
Source: Rfam